UACAGAGGUCUCAAGCGUUGUUCGGAUUCAUUGGGCGUAAAGGGUGUGUAGGUGGCGCCGUAAGUCGGGUGUGAAAUUUCGGAGCUUAACUCCGAAACUGCAUUCGAUACUGCGGUGCUUGAGGACUGGAGAGGAGACUGGAAUUCAUGGUGUAGCAGUGAAAUGCGUAGAUAUCGGGAGGAACACCUGUGGCGAAAGCGGCGCACUGGACCACAACUGACGCUGAGGCGCGAAAGCUAGGGGAGCAAACAGG
This 253-nucleotide ribosomal RNA is filed under the name uncultured bacterium. RNAcentral describes it as "partial 16S ribosomal RNA". It matches the Rfam family "Bacterial small subunit ribosomal RNA", at positions 524 to 776 of the family's 1533-position model. The record is from RNAcentral.